Molecule: long non-coding RNA, 224 nt
Filed under: Mytilus galloprovincialis (Mediterranean mussel)
Lineage: Eukaryota; Metazoa; Mollusca; Bivalvia; Mytilida; Mytilidae
Source: RNAcentral
GGUUGGUUUAAUCUAUGUAUGAAAAAUGCAUGCAUAAAAAGGAAUCCGUGUAACAACUCUUUGAUGGGUCAAAAGGUGGCUUUUUGACUAAGCCAAAUUGAUACCCGUUUUGCAGAAGCCAUUGAGUUACCACCAGACCCAAUUUGAAGAACCUUUAUAUUAAUUUUAUUGUUCUUGUCAUGCAUAUGGAUGAAAUAUUUGUCACUGAACAUUUAAUAUAAAUC